UACUUUGUAGAACAAGGUAUGAGUACUUUUGUAGAAUGGGGUGGUAGUGACGAAAAAUAACAAUAUAGGACUCUUGAGACCCCGCAAUUGGAAUGAGUACACUCUAAAUCCUUUAACGAGGAUCAAUUAGAGGGCAACAGCCAUGAUAAUUCCAGGCCAAUAGCAUAUAUUAAACGUCGUUGUGGUUAAAAAGCUCGUAGUGUGAUCUUAGUUCCAGACAGGUGGUUCGCCUACCAGUGGUUACUGCCUGUCCUGAACACCCAGUCGGUUUCCUUUGAUGAUCCUCACCAGUUGUCUAGGGUGACCGGCAAGUUUACUUUGAAAAAAUUAGAGGCGUGAUACAGGAAUAAUGUAAUAGACCUCAAUUCUAUUUUGUUAGUUUUUGGAAUAUGAGGUAAUAUGAGGUACGGAGGUAAUGAUUAAAAGGGGCAGACGGAGGAAUUCAUAUUGCGACGCUAGAGUGAAAUCCUUGGAGCGUCGCAAGACGAACUACUACAAAAGCAUUUGCAAGAAUGUUUCCAUUAAUGAAGAAUGGAAGUUAGAGGUUCAAAGGCGAUCAGAUGCCCUAGUUCUAACCAUAAAUGUAUGGUUCCUUGGACCGUACCUCUUACUACUUGGAUAACUGUGGCAAUUCUAGACCUAAUACAUGCAGCAGAGCUCUGACCCUCUGGGGAUGAGCAUUUUUAUUAAACCAAAACCAAUCAGAUCUCGUGUCCAUAUUAUGUGGUGACUCAAAGCUGAGACUUAAUGGAAUUGAUGGAAGGGCACCACCAGGAAUAGAGCCUGUGGCUUAAUUUGACUCAACACAGGAAAACUUAUCCCGCCUGGACACAGGAAGGAUUGACAGAUUGAGCUCUUUCUUGAUUCUGUGGGUGGUGGUGCAUGGCCAUUCUUAGUUGGUGGAGCAAUUUGUCUGGUUAAUUCUGAUAACAAAUGAGACUAGUCUACUAAAUAGAUGCUUUGAUCCUUCGAGUCGGACAUUCUGCUCAGAGGGACAAGCAGCGUUUAGUCACAUGAGACAGACCAAUAACAGGUCUGUGAUGCCCUUAGAUGUCCGGGUCACACGUGCGCUAUGUUGAAGAAAUCAGUGUGUCCUUUCUCUGUUCAACAGGACUGGGUACUCCAUUGAAUCUCCUUCAUGCUGGGGAUGGGAGCUUGUAAUUGUUUCUCUUGAACGAGGAAUUCUCAGUAAGCAUGAGUCUUUUGUUUUGUGUCAUUCUGGAAAUAAAUCAUUU
Molecule: non-coding RNA, 1235 nt
Filed under: Stegodyphus mimosarum
Lineage: Eukaryota; Metazoa; Arthropoda; Arachnida; Araneae; Eresidae
Description: Eukaryotic small subunit ribosomal RNA
Rfam family: Eukaryotic small subunit ribosomal RNA
Source: Rfam by way of RNAcentral